GAUGAACGCUGGCGGCGUGCCUAAUACAUGCAAGUCGAGCGAACAGACGAGGAGCUUGCUCCUCUGACGUUAGCGGCGGACGGGUGAGUAACACGUGGAUAACCUACCUAUAAGACUGGGAUAACUUCGGGAAACCGGAGCUAAUACCGGAUAAUAUAUUGAACCGCAUGGUUCAAUAGUGAAAGACGGUUUUGCUGUCACUUAUAGAUGGAUCCGCGCCGCAUUAGCUAGUUGGUAGGGUAACGGCUUACCAAGGCAACGAUGCGUAGCCGACCUGAGAGGGUGAUCGGCCACCCUGGAACUGGGACACGGUCCAGACUCCUACGGGACGCAGCAGUAGGGAAUCUUCCGCAAUGGGCGAAAGCUUGACGGAGCAACGCCGCGUGAGUGAUGAAGGUCUUCGGAUCGUAAGACUCUGUUAUUAGGGAAGAACAAAUGUGUAAGUAACUGUGCACGUCUUGACGGUACCUAAUCAGAAAGCCACGGCUAACUACGUG
Molecule: ribosomal RNA, 497 nt
Filed under: uncultured bacterium
Lineage: Bacteria
Description: partial 16S ribosomal RNA
Rfam family: Bacterial small subunit ribosomal RNA
Source: RNAcentral